RNAcentral lists this ribosomal RNA (271 nucleotides) under uncultured bacterium. Its description in RNAcentral is "partial 16S ribosomal RNA". It matches the Rfam family "Bacterial small subunit ribosomal RNA", at positions 524 to 794 of the family's 1533-position model. The record is from RNAcentral.
UACGUAGGGGGCUAGCGUUGUCCGGAUUUAUUGGGCGUAAAGAGCGUGUAGGCGGCCAGGUAGGUCUGGUGUGGAAACUCGAGGCUCAACCUCGAGAUGUCAUCGGAAACCAUCUGGCUAGAGUCCGGAAGAGGAGAGUGGAAUUCCCGGUGUAGCGGUGAAAUGCGCAGAUAUCGGGAGGAACACCCGUGGCGAAAGCGGCUCUCUGGGACGGUACUGACGCUGAGACGCGAAAGCGUGGGGAGCGAACAGGAUUAGAUACCCCAGUAGU